RNAcentral lists this ribosomal RNA (253 nucleotides) under uncultured bacterium. RNAcentral describes it as "partial 16S ribosomal RNA". It matches the Rfam family "Bacterial small subunit ribosomal RNA", at positions 524 to 776 of the family's 1533-position model. The record is from RNAcentral.
UACGAAGGGGGCUAGCGUUGCUCGGAAUCACUGGGCGUAAAGCGCACGUAGGCGGGUCUUUAAGUCAGGGGUGAAAUCCUGGAGCUCAACUCCAGAACUGCCUUUGAUACUGAGGAUCUCGAGUCCGGGAGAGGUGAGUGGAACUCCGAGUGUAGAGGUGAAAUUCGUAGAUAUCGGGAGGAACACCGGUGGCGAAGGCGGCGAUCUGGGUAGAUACUGACGCUGAGGUGCGAAAGCGUGGGGAGCAAACAGG